RNAcentral lists this long non-coding RNA (14170 nucleotides) under Setaria viridis. RNAcentral describes it as "long non-coding RNA (SVIR_LNC002457)". The record is from RNAcentral. Lineage: Eukaryota; Viridiplantae; Streptophyta; Magnoliopsida; Poales; Poaceae.
UUUUUUUUUGGUAAAUUGAAGAAUGAAGAUAUACAAUUGAAAGCAUAGUUAGUAGAAUAUUUUUCAUAACAAUAAGGCACCUCUGCCAUGGCAUUCGUUAUGACAUCUGGAAUGGGCUCCGUGGUGUCACCUAUCCCAAGGCUUAUAAUCUUAGCAUCAGGGUACUUCAGCAAAUGAGCUGCUCUUCUCCUGGCAAUCUGAUUGACAGUCAACAAAUAGACAUUAUCAGAAGCCAAAUCUACAACAGAACAGCGUCAACAAGGAAAAGAAAAGAUGAGAAUGAAGCAUAACCUCAGGAAAUAAAUAUCCUGCUUGGAGCUUGGCCAUGUUAGCAUUGCGCGGGACACUAGUCUUGUAAGCUUCAGGACAUGAGUAAAAAAAUAUUAGCAUUUAGCAAGCAACACCACCCUUAUUUCUGUUCCUACAACAUCUCCAGGCAACUCUUUACAUGAAAGCAACAGUAGCCAAACAAGAAGCUACUACAGCGUGCAGCAACCUAGAACAAUACCCUAAUUCGAACCAGCACUUGUAGCAUUCGAUUGGAUGCCUCAAACGAAAACUAAUAGAGACUAGACCUGACACAUGAAUUUCUGCGAGCAGGAUGGAAACUAUCAGCGAUGAAGUAAACGAGGGGCUUGAUAGUUACAUGUAUCGACGGCCGGCGGGCUACUGACGCAGCGGACAGUGACAGACAUUCUCCCCGCGGGUCGGCGGUGGAUGGUCUCCAAUGACCUGGAACUGGAAGGGUGCCACGGUUAGACGUAUCCAUUGGGUUAACAAGGACACGCACCGUACUGUAGGAAACGGGGGGCAGUCGGGUACUUGAGAGGUAACGAAGACGAAGAGAGGAAGGAGGAGGAGGGCGCGGUGGUGGCGGGGGCACCGGUGGGUGCUGCCAUGGCGACGGCAGGAGAGGCGGCGGCGGCGGAGGAGGAGGAGGAUUGGUAGGGUGAUGAGUGAGUGAAGGAGCCGUGCAGAGCCCACCUGAGUGAGGCAACAAGACCGACGAGAAUUAGCCUCACGCGGGCCAGUCCAUUUUGGUUUUGGCCCAACUCGUACGUGCACGAAAAGAGGCCCGUCUAAAAGAAUCCAUCCUUCCAGACCUGAGGGAUCAGGCCCAGCUAGCUCAUUCAUGAUGACCCAACUGUGGACUGACGGAGCGGCGGGAGCCGCAGCCUCCUCCUCCUAGCAAAAUUAUCUAUUAUCGCAAAUUCGCAACAAGAAUCGAUAACCCUACGAGGCUACGAUUGAAAAGUUCCUCUUUCGAAAAUAAAAUUGCAAUUGAAAGAUUUUAAAUUAGGUCAACUACCUAUAAACUUGUCUUGGUUUGAACAGAAACUCAGCUCUCCAGAAGAGUCACAUUUGUGACAGAAUCACAGAAGAGUAGGCGCAAGUUCUAACCUGACAGGCUGACACUCCAAUACUGGUGUCAUACCUGUAGCCGUAGGCUGUAGCAAUGUAGCAUUGUCGAAGGAGCUUAGGAGCAGAAGCAGCUCAAUCAAAGCUCCCAUGACAAAACAGGUCAUCUAGACAGUGAGAUUCUCCGCAGGAUAAGGCAGAAUUUCAGGGAUGUGCUGAGGCAUUUCAAUUGACCUCAAAAUUCGGGUAAGUUUGUACAAAUCAGGGCCAGGAGCCUGUAGCCUAAUACACUUAACACAAGGCAAACAGAAGUAUGGUUUUGCCACGCUCGAGAUUCUGUAAAGUUUCAUCUAACAUUUGCCCGUGACAAAAGCUGGGAUCAGUUUGGCUGUAGGAUCCAAAGGAUGAAGGGACGCCAUGGAUGGCCUUAUUAUUUCAACAGGAAAAUUACAGAAUGCCUCUGACAGAAAACUGAUGGUAUGCCGAGUGUCAGCACCGUUUGGUACAGGUCUGGAUAUUUAAUCACGGAAUUCAUCCAUGAACUUCUCGUGGAACUCCUUGAACCUAGAUAUGAUUGCUGGUAUUUUGUCCUCCUGCGGCAAGAUCGUGCAUCUGAAGUGCCAUGUUCCAGGGACCUUCACAGUAUCACAUUGUUAAAAUCGUACAGAAAACGUAUCAGUGCAAGCUCAUUGACGCUUGGAAUUGACAAAGAUUUUUCACGAGGCAUUUAAGAUUACCAACCUGUCCAAAACCAGAACCAGGGACUACGACAAUUCCUGUGGCUUCUAGGAGGCGUUUGGCGUAGUAUGCAUCUGGGGGAGUGCCAGCAGCUUGGGCAGCCCCAAUUGCCUUCUGGGGUAAAUGAAGGCGUGGGAACAGAUACAUUGCACCCUCAGCUUUGUUGCAUGUGAUACCUUCUAAACUAUUGAAUGCUUCUUCCAAAGCCUGUGAGAAAGAAGAAAAUGUAACAAUCAGGUACUUUAAAACAUCUUUAAGCUGGUUUGCCUCCUUAGCUUGCAUAUGUGAACUCCUUAGCUUGCAUAUGUGAAUUGACUAGAGGUUGCAAUCUUGCACCCACUGUUUGUUCUAGCUACUGUUCCAGUAUUAUGGAUACUUUCAUAAGACACAUAACAUGGAACGGAAAACAUCGCCAAUACAUUUAAACUUGCACUUUCAGCCUGUUUUUCUGUUUACAAUUAAUCAAUUUAGAAGCGGCAGAAGAAGCACAAACCUUUGCACGCCGAGCCAAUGAUGAAAGGAUGCCAUCCCUCUCUACCAUGAAGGAUUCAAAGGAUUCAUCCCCAGUCUGUGGAGGUAGAAAACAUCUUAGUUACUGCCAUCAUUAUUGUACUUGAAUGUUUCCUAAGCAUCAUAUACUGACCUUUGGUGGGUUCAUAACAAGGCUAGCAAGAAUUUGGCCUGAGACAUUGGAGCAUAGAUUUACUGAUGCCACCUUGUAAAUCUGUUCCCGCACUUCAGGACUGAACCCAGUUAUCUCCAUGUAACCACCUCGUUUUCCACAUUCUCCAUAGUAGCCUAGCAGGACAAAGAGUAAGUUUUACCAUAAACUAGGAGAGGCAAAUAAAAAAGAACCACCUGAGUUUGAUUUUGAUUACCUUUAGAAACCGACUGGAAUGAUGCUAAAGGAAGAUCAUCAUCAGUGUAUCCCAAUGAUCGUGCAAUUUUUUUGAAUGAGUGGAAUUGCUUGUCUUCAACAUAUAUAUUUUCUUGGUAAACCUAGAUGGGAGAUGGAAAAAUAAGUGGUCUUAGUAGACCUACACGGUUUAGGUAUUUGAAUACCUCAUGUGUAUUGACAUGGUGAAAACUUCAAAUACAAGUUCUGGAUCACCUCAUCUGCAAGAAGAACAAGUCCUUCAUUUUUACAGAAUUCAACAAUUUUCUUUUGGUUUUCCUCAGCGAGAACCUGUUGAGAGCACAGUAGUGUUAGGUGAUCACUGUACCAAAACAAUUCUUGUAAUAAAAUGGGAGAGAGCAUAGGUUCAAAUUCAUCGGUUAUUGCUGCAUGUCAAAAAAUUAUAACCUGCAAUACAUUAUGAGGUAUAAAUAUUCAUAAUGAGAAAAACAUGCAAGAUCUGUCUUUUUGCAUGUAACAGAUAGACAAAAAAUCACCUGUCCAGUUGGAUUUCCAGGAUUUAUGACAACAAGCGCCCUGACAGUGAUGCCCUUAGAUCGAGCCUCCUCAAGUUGUUUCUUUAGCUCAUCAACCUCAAGUCCCCACCCUGUCUCUUCGUCAAGGAAAUAAGGAACCUGAAAGAGAAUUUGUUCCACAUUAUUUUCAGACAUACAGAUCAUGUCACUGAAAGUUCACUAUGUUAGAACCAUAUAACAAUAGCCAUAUAUACAAAGCAAUGCUGACUGGUGAUGAUCAAUUCAUUGAUCAUUAUGAAAUGACUAUAUUGAACUUAAUGAAUUACAUGAAGGAUUUAACUCGAUUAUCUCCUGAAACUGCAAGAUGAGAUGACAUUGGUCUGAUUCAACAAGCAACACCGAAAAGCAUAAAAGCAUUGUCAAAGAACAUACAAGGGAACCACCAUGAAGAGCAAUUGAUGCAGAGUACAGCGGGUACUGCGGAAUAGGGCAGAGAAUGCCAUCCUUCUCAGACCUAAUCAACAAUUGCAUCAUCAUGUGAACCUAGUUGAGAAAAGAAAUUACACUGUAUCAGUAAUGGUGGCAGGCUUUAUUCACAUGCACAGACAGCCAAUUAUCGGUAGUUAGAACAAUCAGUCCUUAUUCCACAUAGAUGGAUUACUGAUGAUCAAAGAAGACAUAUAUAACAUACUGCUGGGCUUGCUCCAUCUGUUAGGAAGAUGUUGUCUCCGCUGGCAUGAAACCCAUCACGGGCAGCAAUUCCAGCAGCAAUUUCAUCACGCAAACCUUUUAUACCCUGAAAUAGAGAGCAACAUGAAUGAUCAAGCUCAUCCAAUCAUGGUGGUAUUCAUCCAAGAGUGUAUACAUAUGUACCUGACUAUGGCUAUAGGCUCCCGUUGCUCUUCCUGGUAUCUUGUCUAGAAUUUGCCAUGCUCUCUCUAUAGCAUCUGAACUGUACAAAGACAUAUAAAUCAACAUUCUAGGCUGGCGAACAAAUAUGUGUAGUUAGACAACUACCUAACACCUAAAUGAUCAUAAUCUUUUGUAGGAAAGCUGUUUAAAAUCAACGUGUCCAUAUGCGAAUAUUCCGUUAGCAUGCAACGUUAGCAAGACACUACAGAUGGCAGUUUCUACAGAUUCAUAGAUAGAAAGAAAAGCUCAAGUGCUUGUGAGCCAAACAGAUUGCACGUAAUUUGAAAACUACCUUAUACUUGCUAUAGAGGUUGAGUUCUUAAUUAUCAUGAAUCAUAACUUCAUGUGUGCACCACAAAAGAAAAUGUAUUUAAAAGAUCAAGCAAGUCCUUUUGUCCCCAUAUCAAGAGCAGGCACACAAGUGGUAAUGCUGAGCAACUCCACCUCUUAAUAUUAUUUCUUACAUACUGACACAUGCACUAAAAACCUGAUACAGAAAGUUGGUCCUCUUUAUUUAGAUUAUUAUCAGGCAGGUGGCAUAGCAUAUAGCAGUAAGUCAACUAACAAAAAAAAAGUCAACUACAGUUGGGGGUACCCUUCACUAUACUUGCCACAAAAAAGUCAGCUAACCAAUUAGUAUUAAUUUACUUGUGCUCAUCUCAUAUGGAAUGCUUCAACGUACCUGUACAAAGCAUGAGUUUCACUUUUGUCCAAGAGAGCUGGAUGAUCACACAAAGAGAGGACCUGUAAAAGAGCAACAUGAGCUAGUAAAGAGCCAUGAACCAAGCUUUCAUCACCGAAUAACUACAGCGAAUACAAACUCACUUCUCUGAAAUAUGUAACUGGCUGUUGGCCAAGGGAUUGAGGAUUUCCAAUAUUGCAGUAAAGUAUCUGCCAUUAAAAUAGAUAGAUGUAAUUAACUCCAAUUGAUCAUCGAAAGCAGUAAGAGCAGAGAUUUAGUUGAUGGGAUCCAAAAUACAAACCUCAUCAAAAGGAAGUGAAUCUGGGUUUUUCUGCAAUUCUUGUUGUAAGUUCUGUAGAGGGAAAACAAGAUCAUAAACCGAGCCCAACAGAACCCUAUUACAAAUAAUUUCUAGAUAGCGCAGGCCUAUUUCACAUAAAUAUAAGGCUAUGAUGUGAAUAUACAACAUCAACAUCCACCCUGAUCCUGAACUAACUUGUUUCUCCCAACAUAGAAAAAAACUCGACCUCAGGGGGAAGACGCCCCCGGGCUUUGUCUAAAGAAGGGGUACCAGGCUUUGAGCAUGGACUGGCAAGGGGGUUUCAACCAUAGUUAUUAGGAUAGGACCGGACCGGACCGGACUGGCAGUUCGAUCGGCAAAAGACCGAACCAGAGCCUCCAGUGGUUUGGUUCGCUUAAAAGACUGUCUCUGCAAUAAUACCGGUAAAAAACGGUUGAACUGGCCAGUUUUGUACAGAACCGGCGAACCGGACGGUUCUGUAUGAACCGGACGCGUUUUGCUUCUUGCCCUCAGGUUCUCUCACGUUGGCCUUGGCCAACCGAAGGCCCAGCCCAAGCAUUCCUUCGGCUUCUAAAAUCCCAUUGAAAAAUCUCUGCUCCGCUCAAUUCUUGCGCUUGCACGGCGGCGGCGGCGCAUCCCGAUCUGCGAACAGGCCGGCAGGCUGGCGGCGCAUUGCAAGCAGGUGCGCGGAAUCCCUUUCUCCUCCUUUCUCCGCCCUGUUCUUUGCCGGCGGCGGGCUGCAACUUUGCAGCAGUGCAGGAGUCAGGCGGCCGGCAAGCUGACAGGCAGGUGCUCAGGCUCCCCCGCCGUGCGCGAAAAGAAGGAGGGCGCGCAAGGGGACAGCAUCCAUGUAGCGGCCGGUGACGAGCGCAUCCAGCAGCGAGUUAUCGUUGGCAGCUGCGGCUCGUCAUCCUCCUACUACGACCUUCUUCUAUGUUUGGGUUUUCAUUUUUUUUCCCCUUUUGCAGUUCAGUUGUUUUUCUAAACAAUAAUCAGAUUCAAGUUCAACAUGUACCAGCAGACUACGAUUCAUGAAUUUCUGCUGGCAGCAGCAGACGAGAAUCUCACAAUCCUUUUCAUUGUUGUUGAUCUUUUUUCUCUACCCGAAUCUAUUUCGUGAUCAAUAUUUUGCUUGCAUUCAUUUUAAUUCAGAAGCUUGUGUGAGGCUGAGCUGCAAUUAGGAAUCACGUUUGUAAAAAAUUGCUGAGUUACCAAACUUAAUGGUAUACUAGUGUUCAGUUGUGUGGUUAUAUAUAAUUAAGUUGUGUUAUUUAUGAGCUAUAUAUAUGGUACCGGUCCUAUGUAUUUGUAUCCGGUUCAAUUUAACGGUCCAAAACUAUUGAACCAGCUGUCAAUCGGUUCUUGACGGUUGAACCAGUGAACCAUCGAACCGAGGGCCUUACCGGUUCGAUGACCAGUCCGGUCCUAAUAACUAUGGUUUCAACAACCCCCCGAGUUCACUGCUCUAACCAGUAUAACUCACGAGAAGCUGGAUUUCUCCCAACAUGGAGUAGCAACUGAUUUUAUUUUGAAUUAAGAACACGGCGUAGCUAUGAACAUCUCCUUCAAGACAACGAAAGUUACUACGGUUAUUGAAUUUUAGAAUGCUUUUCGUAUUGGACGCACCUGAGCAUGUGUAACAAUCUCUCCUCGAACUGCAUAUUCACACUUCAAAACCUGAAGAAACAUAGCAAAUCAUAUCAACUGGGGAAGAUACAGUUCGCCGAUUAAAGCAAACAAAUUGCAUUUUAGAAGCCGCAUUACUACUAGCACCCCUCCCAGUACUGCGUAGAUGUAAGCAUUUUACUUCCAUCAAAUUCUCUGGUACACGUCCACACUCCUAUCGCACGGGUACAAACGCAGCAGCAGUCCAGUAGGAACAGAACAGAGUAAGGAGCAACCCAAGGGCAAGCAAACCAGCAACCUCGAACAGGGAUCGAAACUUUGUAUCCUCGCGCUAAUCGAUCACAUGACUGCCACACGACCAAGCUAAACAAACGAAUCGAAGAAGGGGGUCAAAAGGCGGCACGCCGGCACCUUGGGGUUGAUGGUGUCCAGGGACACUGCGGGCGUGCCCGCGGCCGCCGUGGACAUGGUCCUCGCCAUGGCCGCCGCCAUCGCCGCUGCCCCCAUGGGGGGCGCUGGAUGGCGCUGCGCCGGAGCGAGGGGCAACGGCAGCGGGGCUGUUCUGGAGGAGGAGGCGGCGCCGCGCAGGGACGCGGCCACCGCGCGGCGCGCCCUGUCGGCGGCGAACCGGCGCAUGGCGGGCUGGCGGCGGCGAUGCGCGGAUGGCGACCGACGACAGCGAUGCGGCCGACGACGGCGCUCGCGGAGAGUAAGGGUGCGUGAUGGCGUGAGGCUGACGUGGGUAGGUGGGAGGAAGGCAAGUGUGAAUCUCUUUCUCGACAGGGCCUCCGUUUUUCCGCUCGAGCGAUUUUUGCGUCUCCGGCAAGAAAACGAGACGCUCCCGCCCCGUAGAAAUUGCUUGACCAAAAAGACAAGCCGUUUUGGAAUUCUUGCUUGACUUAGGGCUCAGCGUGUAGGCUGCAUUAUUAUUGCAGUAUAAUAACCAAUACAUGGUGGAGAGAUCAAAGUGUAGAAGGAGGCUCCGGCCAAUAUUUUCAGGUAAAGUACUUGGUUUCUGUAGAACCUUGCUUUAGACAAAAUGUGAUCCUUCAAAAUUAUUCCCCCUUUCAAAUUAUAGGUUAUUUUAAUUUUUCUAAUUUUAUAAAUGUUGCAUAUAGAAAAGUUAUUUUGAUUUUUCUAGUUUUAUAAAUGUUGCACAUAGAAAAGUUAAAAGGACGUGCAAUUUGAGAUGGGGAGAGUAAUUCGCCUCAUUCGCUAUGCGUUUUCUAGUUUGGCUCAUAUUAAAAUUAAAAAAUGUUCAGAUUUUGCAAAGCCAAAAACCUUUUUUUUUUACGAAGAACGAGGUUUUAUGCACGAUGAACGUUUACAGACUCCACAAAAGCCUACUUUGACAGAGCAGAACUGCUGAUAGUGCCUGGUCAACUCCUCCUCGCAAAGAAAAAAGAGCUGGUCAACUAACAUGGUGAGCCGGCCAAGAAAGAAUUAGCAGCGCAGGGCCCAAAAGCCCGCAAGCCCUCCUAUUUUCAGCUUCAGCCUGCGGCCCGUGGAAACUGUUUCCGAAGCACGGGCCGCCACACGCGCAGCAUGGCGGCACUCUUUCUUUUAUCUGCGCUGGCCCAUCCGGGAGAGCGUAAGCCCUCUCUGGCCCGCCGAGCAAGCGAGCAACUCGCAUGCCGUGCCCGAUGCCCCCGGCGCCGUCUGCGAACGCGUCACGCUCACCCGAAUCCGCUCGCACCACGACGCGGACGCCUCCUAUCAGCGUUGCUGCCGACCUGGCGGCCAUGCGGCGCUGUGGCGGCCGCUCCCUCCACACGCCGCGCCGCCAACACGAGCUCCACGGACCACGGCUCCACCUCCACCAGCCAUCGCGCGUCGCGACCGCCGCCUGGUGCCACCUGGAUCAGGAUCACGACCCGGACUAAUUCCACUCUCCAUUCGCCCCUUGUACCUGGCGCGCCGCUGGCCCGUGCACGCCUCGCCGCGCAUCCGCAUGCCCGCCGCGUACCCCGUCCACGUGGACGGCUCUUCUUGUUCUUCUCCUUGCAGAAAAAGAUCUUGCGCCAGCUUUGCGAAAGGAAGCUUCGGAACCGCAGCCAGCCGCUCUCGGCUUCCAGAAGAGCAUCCCCCGUCUGGUGUGCUGCAUCAUCCAUCAUGCGACCAUAGCUGGACCGGUACUAGAUUUCUCCGGAACGCUUCGCCCGCCGUCGUCGAGACAGAGUGUUGUACUCUCCUAUAGGGGAGGAGUAUUCUGCAAGACCACGAGUAUUCAAUUCCCAAAUUCCUAACAAAUUCCGAGACUAAUUCAGGCAGCCAGGCAGGCACUUGAUGAGUUGAUGUCCCCUUGACGACUUGACGCAUCAGUGUUUUGCACUGCCUAAUGCGAUGUCAAGGCAAGCAGAAGCCCUAAACAACAGGCUUUGGGGGCUUUGACCCAUCAUUGUCUGCGAGCGGCGCCAGCGCCCGCAAAAGGGGCGUCCUGGGAAUCAGGCAAUCAGCGUGCAUGUCCGCCGAGGUGUUGGCCAUCAUUUCAGAAUUCAGAGGCUGCUGCUGCCAUGCCUGUGUCCCCGUGCGUCUGUUUGUUGUUUUCAGUUCCGCUGCACAUGCCUGCAACCGUACCCUGCUUUCAGGGUAAAAGGGAGGAGAACAAAGGCAAUUCUCGCGUGCGCUGCACACGAUGACACGAGAGCGUAUGCGAAUUGUAUAUACCAUUGGCAAGGAUUCGGUCGGAAUAUUCAAAGUCAGAUUUAGUACGUGUCAGCGCAAACAAGUGUUAUCCUCCUUUGAAAGCAGAAAUAUUGCAAGAAUUUCUUACAGGAGUCUGCCUGAUUUCAUUAAUAAGGACUAUGAUGGUAUGAAUUUAUUGAUCAUGUCAACUUGAUGCCAAUGACAUGAAAUUCAGUUUCAAAUGGUCCUAGUGCGAUGGUAUGGUCUAAUUCUCCGCGCCACGAACUGCCUGUACGCUGUCUCAGAGAGUCGAGAGUAUAGUAUAUACUUGUAUCCCCAUACUACCGCUGCAAGUUCCUGGCAAAAAAAAAAAUCCAUCCGAACCGCAACUAUUUGACUAUUUCCCGGUCAUCUUUGUCCGGCUCAAACAAUGUUCCAACUGCUGCAGCGUUCCCGCGUGCAAGCAUGCCCAACUCGGGACAGCGACGCGAAAUUUGGAUAAGGGUUAUCGCAAAUCAUCUCAUCUUCGUGGAGAUAUUAUUAUCCAUCGCUCACUCGCACGCCCGGAAUCUCAAGCUGAUUUCGCCCGCUGCCACAUCUUUAGAAUUAGAAUCUUCCUCCGCAGAGGACAGCACCGGAUUACGAUGCAACACACAUCUAGAAGCAAGCUCCGGAUUAAAGCAAGGUGUUAACAAGAUCGGUAAGCAAGGGCAACAACGCAUCACCCAUUGAUCGCCCUGCAACUCUGAAAGCAUCUGAUUGCAGCACGUGUGUGGUCAUGUGGAAGUAAGGGUAGAGAAGGCUCUUCUUUGCGAGCAGGAUACUGGAUAAAUGUAUGCGAGCGAAUCCAUUAUGAGAUGAACAAAACCAAGCAGAAAAAGAAGGCAAAGAAAACGCAGCGGAUGAUGCUGAUGCAUAUGGACACAAAAAGCCAUUAGCAUCGCUGCUGAUGUGUGAGCGUUUGUCCCUGUGUGGCCUGGCGGCGAAAUCACUCUCUCUCUUCUUCUCUGAUCUGGAAGAAAAAUAAGAGAAGCAGAAAUUGGUCUGACGGCGAGCUACGGCACCAUGAGCGCGACACGUUGGUGGUGCCUAUCCGUUGUGGCGGUUUCGGUUGAGCAAACCCAUUGCAAGUUUCCUUCCUUGCAUCGAUCGUGGUGCGUCACGCUCAUAUCGUUUUGAAUUUUAAAUUUUAUUUUCCGGAAGAAAGUUUGGUAUCCUGAUUGAUUAUCAUACGGAGAAACUCGCACAGCGAUUGGCUGAUUGGCCAGCUCACAGAUAGAAAUCACUUGGACUAGCCCGCGUCGCUCUCCUGGCGACACGGGCGGCACCCAACUCACCACCGCCGUCGUUGCCCCUCCCCUCCCCACGCUCAUCCACACCUCGCCACCGCCUGAGCGGGGCUUCAAAAGCCCGCGUCCCUUCUAGGACAGCGGCAACGGGGUCGUUUCUCCGCGUCAGGUCUUGGCCAGCGCAGAUCUAGGAGCCGAAGGUCCGAGGCGGCGCACGAGCGCAGAGGGGCGCAGGCCCGGCGGUGGCUGCGGACGGCGACGCGAGGAACCGGGGCCGGCAGCUUGCGGGCGUGGUUGUGGCCGUGCCCUCCCCUGGUCAACGACGCGGUGGCACCGGGCAUGGAGGCGGUGGCGGCACCCCGGGGCGGCAGAUCAGGGGUCCGGUGGACCAGAUCCGACGCCCCAGGGCUGGAUCGGUGGGGUGUUGCUGCCGGUGGCGCUGGCCAUAGGCCGCACGCGUGGGGGGCUCGGCGAGGAAGGUGGCGCUCCAGCGGCUCGGCGGCGGAAGCACGUCUACGGCGACCACUGCGUAUGCCCGCGCGGAGUGGCGACAGCGGGGUGGUCUUAAAGGUGGACGGGCGGAGGGCCGGCACUAGCAGUUGCGAGGCGGCUCGGCACGGGUCAUGGAGGCCAAGUGGCGGUGGCCGGCGCGGCGGAUGCAAGAUGGCCGGCGUGGUGCCGAGGCCGCGCGGCGAUGGCCCAGGGCGAGGCAAGGAGGCCGCAUGCUAGCGGUGGCGGGGCGUUUCGCCGCGGCAUAAGGAGAUCGCGCGGCGGAGAGACGGCGUGGCGGUGGCCGCGUGCGAGGAGACGUGUGUGAUGGUUAGGCGGUGCAGCGGUGGCUACGUGUGAGAAGCAAAGGUCGAGUGGUGGUGCAUCGGGGCGGCGAGCGCAGCGGAGGUGGAGGUACGACGGCGUGGCGCGGGAGGCGCGGCGGUGGCGCUGCCCCAGAUGGGCCGCCGUGGUUGUGGUCCGAGAGUGCCGAGCCGUGAGCGUGCAGCGAGGGGUUGGGAUGCUCCGAGCGAAAGCCCUCAUCGGCGUUCUGUCUGCUGGAGAUGAAAGCGGCGCCUUAGGGCGUCGUUUUCCCUGUUGGGGGUGUCAUGCUGGAGCUACAACCCUGCUUCACGGGGUUCUCUUGGUGAAAACCCUGGACGAGCGGCGAUGGCGUCAUUGGCGUUAUGCACUCCUUGAAGGCGUUGUUUCUAGAGACCCAACACGAUUUGUGGUAUUGCUGGUCCAUUGGUCAUGGACGGCCGCAGCCGGUGGCGGCAAUUCUGCCGCGUGGCAAGCUGGACGGGUGCUGCCGAGCCCACAUGGAGGCGAUCGCAAUUAUGGUGGUAAUCAGUGCGGCAUGGGACUGUGUCAGAGGACGGUGCUUGCAGCAACGAUAUCGUGGGAUAACUAGGCUUGUAGCGGAUCGUGGCGGGGUGCUCAGCUUGGCUGUGCUAUCUGGUGCGGUACAUCGUCGAAAGACAGUGCAAGCGACUUCUCUGACUUGCUGACAUGGCGGCGGAGGCUAUGAGCAUGGUGAAGCAACGAGGCGAAGUCGACCUGCGACGGCGGCUUGGUUGAUCGAUGGAGAUCUUGGGAGCGGGGCAACAUUGCUCACCACUCUAACGGCAACAAAAAAACCGGAUCCUUCACGUUGAGUGCUGUGGCGGGCGUGGUGAGGCCCCGCACGCGUGGUGUUUUUUUCGAGGUGACGAGAGCGAGGUGGAGUUCAACGGCGGAUGUGGCGAGGCCCCCGCACGUUGUGUUAUUGUGGUGGCGACUGCGAGGCAUCUUACGAGAGGUCCGAAUUCGGUGGUAUCACUCUGUCAAGUGGAGUGUGGUGUUGCAGCGGUACUACGUCGGAGAGUCCCGUAUGGCGGUGGCCUUCUCGGUGCGAUGUCGUCUGCUUCUUUCGGUUCCCUGUCGACGCAGGAUCACACCUGGAGGUUUCGACGACUACAUGAGUGAGGAUGUUGGUGGGUGCCGCGGUAAGGCUUUGGUUCUGUUGCCGUUGUCGGGCGGAAUAAAAUCCGCUUGAGAAGUGUUGAGUUCGGCGCGUGUUGAUGUCCCAAUCCUACCGGUCGAAUGUGUUGUUUAGUUGAGGUUAGUGCGAUGGCGUGAUACGGCAUGUGUUGAUGACCCAAUUCAACCUGCCGGUAUUUGUGCCUUUGUUGUUUUCGCUCAGUCUGAACUUCAUCUUCUUAUAUUAAUAUAAUUGGCAGCUCCCUAAUUGGUUCGUUUCGGAAAAAAAAAAGACUGCCAGCUCAUAGAGCGUCUCCAAUUCGCUGGUGUUGCUGUUGUUGUUGCUUGUUCGGCCACCUGCCAGGCCCGGCCAUGCUUGCUGCUAACUCAACUAGUAUCUCUCCAGCCAGGUCAACUCCGCUUCCUUUGGAUUUGGACCUAAAAUUUGGAGCAUCCACAAGGCACUCACCCGCAAUGACGCAAUUACUCGCCAAAAUGUCUUGAAGACAAAAAAAAAAAAGCAGAUAUGCAAGCAAUUAUGCAGGAGCUCCGGCUCGAUUAUGGAUGGCUGCGCUGGAUUUUUCCGAGUGGUUGUUCAGACUGAUUAGUCGCUUGGGAGUGCAGAAUGUUUUCAAUGGAACUGGUGUUUUGUUAGUGCAUCAGGUGGCCGCGGUGGUUGGUGAUGGAAGGCCACCUGUGGAGUUCGAGGAACGGGAUGCAGUCACACCGGAGAUUGUUCUUCUCAGCUUGUCUGCCGUCAAAUCUGCAGUUUUGGCGGGUACGUGGGGUUGAGGACUUGAGGUCCCCUGCCUCCUGCCUCACAAAUGGUUGCACUGUGACUCGUUUCAAAUUUGUGGGCGAGAGAUGGGCGGCGAGGCGAGUUUGUUUCUUUGAUAGCGGCAGCUUGUGGUCAAAAUAGCAUCGACACGAAAGUCGACGGAUUGGGCAAGGUGAAUGUGAAUAUUCUACUGGCUCCUGCAACUUUCGGUUACAGGUAGCCGUAGACUCCAGUACUAGCCUGCAACUGAAAAUAACCGCUGUAUUGGCUGGAUGCAGGAACAACAGCAGGUAAGAACAGCAGAAGUGUGCUAGUUCCAAGAUUCGAUUUUUCUUUUGUUCGAUUUCUCAUUUCUCUCCCCAGUUCAUGUUCUAUCGGCACGAGAAAUUUACAUCAGACGACGGCUAUAAGAAUCUGUACAUUUUUUUGAUCGCUCUCUCUCCACUCUCCCUACGGAAAACACGCACGCGAAGAAGGGAAGCAAAAACUAGUGAUGUCACACGGGAAACCGGCACGAAAGAAACCAGCAGCAGCCUCAG